CUUUUCUUUGCAAACUUCUGCAUCCUUUUCUCGGCAAACUUCUGGUGAUAGCGCUCAACGUUUCGUUCAAUGUUUAACCAGAUAUGCCAAGAACUCGGAAUCUAUUACUCAAGUUGUUUUCACCCCAGCCAAUGCCUCAUACAAUCCUAUUUUGCAGCUUAACUUGCAAAACCUUCGGUUCAAUACUUCCGGGACGCGUAAACCUCUAGCCAUUGUUACACCAGUUGAGGACACUCAAGUCCAAGCGGUGAUUUACUGUGCUAGAAAAAAUAGCAUGAACGUUCGGACUCGUGGCGGAGGCCACGAUUUCGAAGGUGUUUCGUAUACAGCUGAUGUGCCGUUUGUGUUACUUGAUAUGAUUAAUUAUAAUAGAGUUAAUAUAGACUUGAAAACAAGCACUGCAUGGGUUCAGUCUGGUAUUAGCCUUGGGGAAUUUUACUAUAAAAUUUCUCAAACAAGUGAUGUUCUGGCGUUCCCGGCUGGUUUAGUGUCGACGGUUGGACUUACCGGCCUUCUUGGUGGUGGAGGAUAUGGUAUGAUGAAGAGAAAGUACGCUCUUGCUGCUGAUAAUACACUGGAUGCACGUAUUGUGGAUUACAAUGGGAAAAUUCUCGACAGAAAAUCUAUGGGAGAAGAUCUGUUUUGGGCUAUUAGAGGUGGUGAUCCUGCUAGUUUUUGCGUUAUUCUCGAGUUGAAAUUGCAGUUGGUUCCUGUCCCCAAAUUAGUGACCUAUUUUGCAGUCCAAAGAACUCUGGAACAAAAUGGAUCAGCGCUAUUCCAAAAAUGGCAAUCCACAGCAGUCAAUGUGUUUCCAAGAGAUCUUGAUGUUAGAGUCGUGGUGGAUACUAUUACAAGCAAUUCAAGUGCCCGCGAAGAUAAGAAAACAGUUAGAUUCAUCUUCCAGUCAUUGUAUCUUGGUAAAAUUGACACCUUACUUCCGAUUAUGAAAGAAUAUUUCCCUGAGCUGGGCUUGGUGAGAGAGGAUUGUGUCGAAACCAGUUGGAUCAAAACGGCGCCCAUGUUUUCAUUUUUUCCGGUAGGAACUGAUCCAAAAAUAUUACUCAACAAAACGGCCCCUACAAGAAAUCCUGUCAAGAUAAAGUCGAGUUUCACGACGCAACCAAUUUCUUUGGAAGGACUCAAUGGUAUAUGGGACUUGUGGCUCAAGCAACCAGUACAAACCACGCUCAUUCAAUACACUCCAUUCGGUGGGAAAAUGAACGAGUUUGCAGAGUCUGCACUUCCAUUUCCCCAUCGUCCUGGUGUGUUGUACAUGAUCAACAUCGCCGUGACUCUGAACCAAAAUGCGGAAGCAACUUUACAGUGGAUUAAUGAUCUGUUUAAAUACUAUACUCCAUAUGUGACCAAGAACCCUAGAACUUCAUAUGUGAAUUACAGGGAUGCUGAUCUCGGAACAGGAAGCAAGACAUAUCAAGAGGCAAGCAUAUGGGGGAGGAAGUAUUACAAGAAUAAUUUUGAUAGGUUAGUGAAGAUUAAGUCUGUAGUUGACCCUCAAAAUUUCUUCAACCACAAGCAAAGCAUUCCUCUACUCAUGUGAUACAAACAAACUAGUAUCCGUGGUUAGUUAAUUUCUUGAGAAAAUGUGUCAUGGUUAUUUGGCUGUGUAAAUGUUUGUUCAAAGUGAAAUAAAUCAUAUCUUUUCCAAUGAUUGUGAAGUAAGAAUGUCUCAGUUAAUAGGCCCAUUAAUAUAUUAAAAUUUUAAGGACUUUUUUGAUUAUAUAAUAAAUAAUAAAUAUAUAAGUAAAAUAUUAUUUAGUAACUAUAUUUCGAUAAGUAAGAAUUAUAUAUUUACAUUAAUUUAAUAAUUUGGCUUUGUCUUACAUCUAUUCAAAGUUAACUUUUAAUGCUUCUUUCUUAAGGAUAAGUAAUUUAUCACUAAAAAGUCAUAACACCAUUUAUAAAAAUAUUUUUCUUAAAAUAUUUUUCCAUCACCAAAUUUACUACCACACAUUAUAUGUUAUAUUAACUAGUUUUUCUUAAAAUAUUUCAGAACUAAAAAAUAGUAAAUUAUAUAAAUAAGAGAUGGUAACAUGAUUUUUAAACCUGGAAGAGGUCAGAAAUCCGAAGAUUCCUAAAUUGAUGCCACGCACGUACAUGCUUUUAAAAACUUAUACUCCCUCCGUUCUUAAAUAUCUGCCUUUUGACUUUUUGACACGCAUCUUAAAGUGUUUUGACUAUAGAGUUAAAAAUAUUAUUUUCGAAUUUUUUUUCUGAAUAAAAAUAUUAUAUCAACAAUUUUAUUCACAAAAUGAAAUACUUGAAAAUAACAUUUCUACCUAUGUAGUCAAAGCACCUUAAAAUGUGUGCCGAAAAGUCAAAAGGCAGAUAUUUAAGAACGGAGGGAGUAUCUCCUAAGAGAGGGAAUCAAAUCCGGAGAGAUGCUCAUAAAAGUUAGAAAAAUGUUCACGUUCUAGGCAUUUAAUGAAUCCAACUAAAAGGGUUGCAAUGAAGGAGCUGGUGUGAGCCGAUCUUAAAGUCCUCUUCAAUUACCAGAUACAUGGUCUAUGAACAGCAUUCUAAAGAUUAAACACUUCUACUCCUAAUUAUUAUUAAGUCGUCUGAUCAGUUGGCAUAUUGAAAUGGUCUUUGGGUAGACAGCUUUAUAGUCUCUGUCCUAUAAUCAAACACACAUAUGUGCAAAUGUAUAUGCUCCUUUGAUCUCCAUCUUUCUGACAAAUUAAUCCCUGGUAAUUUAUCAACUCUAGCCAGCUCAAAGGGAUACCCAUUGUGUUCUAUAUAUAGAGCAUUGCUGAGAACUUGAUUUUCAAUUUUUUAACCUACUGAAAUCUGGUGUUCCGCCACUGCUUGUGUACACACAAGCUAGCUAGGAAAACUGUAAUUUAUUUUAUAAAAUAAACUUUCUUUGAAUAGUUAAAAUGAACUUAAUCAGCGAAACACUUCCGAGUUGAAGAUAAAAAUAAAUGAUAAAGCAUACAUGUAAAUGUGAGUUGACACAACUAACGGGGGUGUAUUCGAUUGGGAUUUUAAUGCAUUGUUUUUAGUCUAUGGAUUUUAAUGAAUUGUACGGGAUUUUGAUUUUGUGCGGAUUCUUGAUGAAAUGUCGCAGAGUUGAUAGGAUUUAGGUACAAUGCUUCAAAAUCCCAUUGAAUUUGAUUGGAUGUCAAAAAACUUACAAUACACUGAAGAAUGACACAAAAUCCAUCAUUUUAUGAAAUGAAAAAAAAUCCAUCAGCAUUUGAAUACCAUCAGAUUUUAAUGGAUUUUAAACAAUCCCAAUUGAAUACCAUCGGAUUUUAAAGCAUAAUUUAAAAUCCCAAUUGAAUACCACCAGAUUUUGUAGCAUAAUUUAAAAUCCCAAUUGAAUACCUCAAGAUUUUAAUGGAUUUCAAACAAUCCCAAUCGAAUAUCCUCGGAUUUGAUGAAUGCAAAAAAAUACUUUAAAAUCUCAAUCCAAUACACUCCUCUAAAUUUGCAGUAGAGGCGCGAUUGCAGACCGAGUUGGUCAGCCGCGUAACGAAAUGAUCAAACAAUACAAACCGUUGACUCUAAAUCCAAUCCUUCAUGCCUCAACUUGCUUAUCGUAGAGUUCAUUGUUAUGUUUGUUCUGUCUGAUUCACGUAAAUUUCUCCCACGAUAUAUUCCAGCUAAUAUUCGGUAUAUAUAACCUCAAAUAAAUAUUUAUAUAUCUAGAACAUAUACUUUUUUUAAGCCUGCUCUGGAUCACGUGUGCUAUAUUAAAAUGUGACCCAUCAAAUUAUCUACAUUACCAUUUUCUCUGGAAUAAUAGUUUAUUUGUUACUCCCUCCGUCCCGGUCAUUUCCAUACUGUUUUCUUCUUGGGAUGUUCCAUCAUUUCUAUAUAUUCUUAAAAUAGCAACUUUUAAUAAUGUAAAACACUAUUACACCAACUACUUUCUUCCACUAUAUUCUUUUUAUAAUAAUAUAAACACUAUUACACCCAAUACUUUCCUCCACUAUCACAAAUCUAUAAUUAAAUACAAAUGUAUCCCACCAUUUUACCCAUUUUCAUCUAAUUUUACUCAGUUUUCACAAUUUUUCUUGGUCUCCGUGUCUACGUCAAAUGUAUAUAACCUAUUGGGACGGAAGGAGUAUAUCAUAUAUGUAGAUAUAUGAUAUAGAUAUAGAUAUUAUUCAUAGGUCAAAAACUACCGGAAACUGAUUUAUUUUAAAUAACUUUGACCAAAAUAUACAUACAUCUAAUCUAAUAAAAUAAAAUAUAAAACCUCACUUUCAAUUUAAAGGAGCUCAUUUGUUGGAUGGUUACGUGACUUAUGAUUUAACGUUACUUGUAUGAUAAACUGCUAGUUUAAAAUGUUUGAUUAGCUAAUUUUGACUUGAGUUAUUAAAUAUAUAAUGAUAAUAAUAAUAAAAAUGAUUUAUGGGCAACUUGAGUAUUACGAAUAAUUUUUAUCAAAAAAAUUUAAAAAAAAAUUAAGUCGCUAAAAAUAUUAUCUCAAACUAAAUUCUGACUAUAAGUCAGUUUCUGACUUAUUUAAUUUUAAGCUGGCUUUUAAUUUAUUAAAAAAUAAAUAUUUUUUAAUUUAAAAUUAAAAACAGUUUAAAGCCAGGACAAACGUUCUAAGCUCUCACGAUUUGACGACUUCUGCUCAGCAAUUAAUAUGAUACGAAAUGGUCGUGAGAAUGCAAUUACACGAUAUCCAACUUCAUACUUCAAUAAAGAAAUUAAUUUUUUCAGUCUUUACCACGAAAGCGAGUCGUCAUUCAUCAACGCUCGAGACUCUAUAAAUAGUUAGCUUCGUAUCAAUCAUUUCAUAUCAAAAGCAUAUUCAUCUCUAACAUACAGAUAUGGCAACUUCUUCAAUACUUUGUUCUUUUAUUCUUCUUAUUCUUUUCUCAUCCUUUUCUUUGCAAACUUCUGCUGAUAGCACUCAACGUUUCAUUCAAUGUUUAACCAAAUAUGCCAAGAACUCAGAAUCUAUUAGUCAAGUUGUUUUCACCCCAGCCAAUGCCUCAUACAAUCCUAUUUUGCAGCUCAACUUGCAAAACCUUCGAUUCAAUACUUCCGGAACCCGUAAACCUCUAGCCAUUGUUACACCAAUUGAGGAAACUCAAAUCCAAACGGUGAUUUACUGCGCUAGAAAAAAUAGCAUGAACGUUCGGAC
This 5125-nucleotide long non-coding RNA is filed under the name Daucus carota (carrot). Its description in RNAcentral is "long non-coding RNA (DCAR_LNC000655)". Lineage: Eukaryota; Viridiplantae; Streptophyta; Magnoliopsida; Apiales; Apiaceae. The record is from RNAcentral.